GAUGAACGCUGGCGGCGUGCCUAAUACAUGCAAGUCGAGCGAACAGACGAGGAGCUUGCUCCUCUGACGUUAGCGGCGGACGGGUGAGUAACACGUGGAUAACCUACCUAUAAGACUGGGAUAACUUCGGGAAACCGGAGCUAAUACCGGAUAAUAUAUUGAACCGCAUGGUUCAAUAGUGAAAGACGGUUUUGCUGUCACUUAUAGAUGGAUCCGCGCCGCAUUGGCUAGUUGGUAAGGUAACGGCUUACCAAGGCAACGAUGCGUAGCCGACCUGAGAGCGUGAUCGCACACACGGGAACUGAGACACGGUCCAGACUCCUACGGGAGGAAGCAGUAGGGAAUCUUACGCGAUGGGCGAAAGCCUGACGGAGCAACGCCGCGUGAGUGAUGAAGGUCUUCGGAUCGUAAAACUCUGUUAUUAGGGAAGAACAAAUGUGUAAGUAACUAUGCACGUCUUGACGGUACCUAAACAGAAAGCCACGGCUAACUACGUG
This 497-nucleotide ribosomal RNA is filed under the name uncultured bacterium. Its description in RNAcentral is "partial 16S ribosomal RNA". It matches the Rfam family "Bacterial small subunit ribosomal RNA", at positions 28 to 507 of the family's 1533-position model. The record is from RNAcentral.